CUCCUUCCUUCUGUUAUCUUCUAUAUCGGUCUCUACCUAGGAUUGAACUCACAGCCUCCGGAUUGUGAGACGAGAGCUCCGCUCCUAGGCCACCGC
Non-coding RNA from Notechis scutatus (mainland tiger snake), 96 nucleotides. NCBI's taxonomy places the organism in Eukaryota, Metazoa, Chordata, Lepidosauria, Squamata, Elapidae. The record is from RefSeq and is a predicted model, not a curated record.